This 453-nucleotide long non-coding RNA is filed under the name Olea europaea (common olive). RNAcentral describes it as "long non-coding RNA (OEUR_LNC010240)". The record is from RNAcentral. Lineage: Eukaryota; Viridiplantae; Streptophyta; Magnoliopsida; Lamiales; Oleaceae.
CUCUCUCCUUCCUGGUUUGUAUCGACAAUCUAACAUUAAACAAAACAAAACCAAAUCCAUACGUUAGCACAUACGAUAUCUGUGAAAAUAUUUCGUUAUCUUUUUCAACUACCCCUUCAUCUGCCACUAAUGUAGCUGCAUGGAACUUUUACAACUGCGAUUUAUAUAUAUAUAUAUAUAUAAUUUUUAUUUGCAGUAAUUAUCAAGAAUUUAUUGUGGGCACUUUGAAUCUGAAGUAGUUUUUAUAUAUUUUUUUUCAUAUUUCUUUUUUUGUUUUGACAAAUGCAUUUAUGGGCUUGUUAUUUUCUCUGUUGAGAGAAGAUUCAAGGAGGUUUAUUAAGAGAAAAGAUAGUGAUGCAGGAGAAGCAGGUUUGUUACCUUUCUUUAUGUAUAAAAUUUCUUUCUUCCAUGCAAUUUAUUUAUUUAUUAUUCACCAAAUGUGACUAAUUAAUU